RNAcentral lists this long non-coding RNA (780 nucleotides) under Salmo salar (Atlantic salmon). RNAcentral describes it as "lncRNA (ENSSSAG00000107812.1)". Lineage: Eukaryota; Metazoa; Chordata; Actinopteri; Salmoniformes; Salmonidae. The record is from RNAcentral.
GAGAGAUGAUACUGAAAGAAAGAGAGAGAGAGAGAGACGGAUUUCACUUUUGUAUAUUAUCUACUUCACUUGCUUUGGCAAUGUUAACAUAUGUUUCCCAUGCCAAUAAAGCCCCUGGAAUUGAAUUGAAUUGAGAGACGGAGAGAGGGAGAGAGAGAGAGAGAAGCUGUGUUCCCAGUUGCCUUGAAAGCACCAUAAAUCCAGAGAAUGCCAGACUUUGAUGACAAAAUUUGCCCACGAAGGACCGACGCACCACCAUCCUGUGAGCACAGCAUGACAAGUGACCACUCAUGUGGAUGGGGGAAUUGUCAUCCAAUGGGGACAUAGCAAUGGUAGCCAAAAUAAAGUCUGUCACUGUCCGCGGGCAGCAUUUGGCAAUCUCAAGGCUGUGCGUUACAGGGAAGACAUCCUCCUCCCUCAUGUGGUACCCUUCCUGUAGGCUCAUCCUGACAUGACCCUCCAGCAUGACAAUGCCACCAGCCAUACUGCUCGUUCUGUGUGUGAUUUCCUGCAAGACAAGAAUGUCAGUGUUCUGCCAUGGCCAGCGAAGAGCCCGGAUCUCAAUCCCAUUGAGCACGUCUGGGACCUGUUGGAUCGGAGGGUGAGGGCUAGGGCCAUUCCCCCCAGAAAUUCCGGGAAGUUGCAGGUGCCUUGGUGGAAGAGUGGGGUAACAUCUCACAGCAAGAACUGGCAAAUCUGGUGCAGUCCAUGAGGAGGAGAUGCACUGCAGUACUUAAUGCAGCUGGUGGCCACACCAGUUUCUGACUGUUACUUUUGACC